Molecule: long non-coding RNA, 40649 nt
Filed under: Daucus carota (carrot)
Lineage: Eukaryota; Viridiplantae; Streptophyta; Magnoliopsida; Apiales; Apiaceae
Description: long non-coding RNA (DCAR_LNC003949)
Source: RNAcentral
AGGUACAGGAAAACAUAACUGGCAAGGCUGUAAAGUUCAUCAAGAGGGCUAAAUGUAAUGUCAGCAGUUGAUCAGGUAUUAUUAUGAGACUCCGAGAAAGGUUUACAACGCGGCAUGUCUAGGUAGCGAGAGGAUUAUGGACUUGUCCGAUGAACUGCACAACUCCGGUCAUGUCUUCUCUGAUAAGGAAGAGAAACGGGCGGUCUGCAACAAAGUCGAUCUUAUCGAACAUUUGUAAAGACCUCAGUUUUAUGACACCAGCUGAUGCAGCAGCAGCUUCUGUGCCUUCUUCGUUGACUUCGAUGAAGGAUUUGUGGAAUAUGCUUGAAACAUACAGCUUUUGACCCAUAGGAGAAUCCACCAUCUCGGUAAGACCGUCACCGGAGAAGGGCAAAACCAGCCCUAGUUCCUUUAAGACUUCCGAUGCUUCGAAGCCAAAUGAGAUUUUGAAUUUGGGAAUGCGGAAGUCGCCAACUUCUACUUUCUGGUAUGGAAUAUGGCGCUCGAGGAAUCCAGCUACUGAACCAACUUCCUCCACUAAUUUCGGCAACCCAUCUUUUGCAUCUGGAAGAAAGAAGUACAUGGAAAAUUGGCGUUUGUCACCUCCUUGUUUAUAAGGAAGCCCCAACACUUUGAAACCAUCAAAUGCGCUGAUCAAUUGCUUUUUCUUGCUGGUCAUGAAGGGAACUUGAAUUGAGCUACCAUCGAGGAGGUGAAACUCAUCCUCUUUAGUAGUGGAUGCAUCAAACUUGUCAGUCCAUGCUCCUUUAAAAUAGAGGGCGUUGGCAAAAACAAGCCUAGUUGAGCUGUCAACUGAUCCAGAAGGAAGAAUCUCUUUGAUAAGGCCAUUGGUCUUCUUUUCAGCCCACGAGUUCACUGAAUUGGUCACUUCAGUAGCCUGUAUGCAGAUAUAUACACAUAGUUAAAAUAAACAGUACGACCUAUACACCACAGGAACAUGAAUACAAUGAUACAAACAUAGAGGACCAAAAACAGAGGAUCUUGGGGAGAAUCAACUAGAACCAAAUGCAAAUUAUUCAAAUAAUGACCUUAAGGAACUCUUUAAGCAUAAUUGUAUUUGACAAAGAAAGAUUCACAUAAGCAUAACUUGUACAUCGAACUAGUCAUUUUAUGUCCAUUAUUAUUGAUUCCUGAUUAUAGACGGUUAUUACUAUGUUAUUAAUAAAUAUUAAAAGCAGACAAGAGAUUGCAAAUAGAGUGCAUAUGUAGAGAAAGUAGCUACAUCACAGCACCAUCAUGUAAAGAAUAGGCCCUCCACAUUUAUCUAUGAAUAACGGAAAGUAAUUUGGGGUCCAUUUGUGGUGUCAUAUAACAAUAAUUUUAUUAUAAGACAAAUUAAAAAGUAACAAGUAACAACUAAAGGAUAACAUAAAUGGCUAGCAUACAACAUUACCCUACAAAGAUAACAAUCAAGAACAGACUCCAUAACAUUUUCCAUAAGAGCCCUAGAAAAUAAUUUCAUAAAAGAAUAAUCAAGUAGCUUUCGCGUCGUAAACUAAGUAGUACUAUAAUUGCAAAAGAAGAAAAGAACCACAGACACAAACUACAAAGAAGCAGGGACAAACACACAAAGGAUCAUAUUGGUUAGUUACAUACAGUAUAAGUUAAAUAAUCCUUAUUCACGGGGUCAAUUGAUUAACUUCUGUUUACUUAAGGGAGACGAUUAAUGUUAAGGUGCAAACAAUACAAAAACAAACAUUGGUACAUGAAUGUAGAAAUUGUUCAAUUUUUCAGUAAAAGAGUAAAAUUUAAGAACAUCUAAUUCCUUUGUACAGAAAUCUGUAUUCAGUGAUGCAACAUCUCAUAUUCAGAAGCAAUAAGGCCUAAGGCGGACGCAGUUCUGGAGGGUCUCCCACAUCACACAACUGCAGCCCGCAAUGCACGGAUUUGUUUUUGGGCUCUUCCCAAAAGAGCCCAUACUAAUGGAAUUGUUUGACUGCUUACGACGUGUGACUUGGUCGACAACCACUCAACAGUUAACUUUUGAUAUAAAAACCAAUUCUAUUACAAGUCAGCAUAUCAUAAUAAAUAUUUUUCGAGGGGUUGCCAUUAAUCUCAUCAGGUAAACAGCAUUAUCACUUCUUCACGCAUAUAGCAGUAUCAUUCCUACCUCAUAAUGCAUCUAAUUAAACCUUGGGUUUACUCCAUCAUUCUGACUAGUUAUAUUAUAUCCCUAAAUUGAAUAUCGAAAAACUGGAAAACAAAACAUGAUCAUUAGGCGUGAUAGGCUGAUGUUUAAUAAUUUUUCCCGAGCAAUUGUUAGCAUAUCUGAAGACUGAAGUCUGUUUAUCCCUCAUAGGAGUCAGAAUAAUCAGCCAAUCAUGUAAUUUCUAUUUCCACAAAGCAACCUCUCUUCAAUUACAACUUUUUCACGCAUUUCUCAAAUGUACUAAUUGAAAAUUAAGAAGUAUCCGAGAUGUGGGCAAAAGCAUCCUAGUGCUAUAAGAGUUCAAGAAUCAGAUCUCCCCCAGUCCCCCUCCCAUCUAUACUCGAAACAAGAUACAGCAACUACCAAAAAUUAGUAAUAUCAGCAUCAUCCAAUUCAUACAAAUCUAAAUAUCUAACACCAUCAAAACCAACACAAACAAGCAACAUAAAUAAACAUGAUUGCAAACACAAAUAAAAUCGAAAAAUUAGUAUUAAAAAAAAAACCCAACCAACCUUGGUCUGAAAAUCAACAUGAAGAGAAGCAGCCUUAUACACCCCUUCCACCACCUGUUUAAACAAGGGCUUAAGAGCAAGAGACUCAUCAAUCCAGACCCCAUUAGCAAAACUCACACAAGGCCCACCAGACCCAGACCCAUCAGCAAACACAAGAUCAACCAACUGCCCAGACAAAGAAUUAAGAUCAUCACUUGACCCAGCUUUAAGAAAAGACAGAAGCUGCUUUUGGGUCUGUGCAGAUGAUCCAGCUGUGAUCAGACCAAGAACUACAUGAACAGAAAGAGGGGAGAAGACAGUGUUUGAGUGGCUGUUAUUGUUGUUUAGUAGUAUGUGUUUUGCAAGUGUGAGGGAGACAUCAGUUUGGUUCUUGAUUGAUUGUCUUAAGUCCAUUUUUUGGGGGAGUUUAGGGAAGAUUGGCAACUGGGGUUUCAAGAAAAUGGGUCACAAGUUUGUAUGUGUUGUGUGUGUUGCAGUUAAACAUAAAAUAAGACAGCGCCACGCGUUUGGAGACACGGUUGAGUUGUGCUAGACUUGGUUGCUAAGAUAUUAGAUUCGGCUUUGCACGUCUGAUUUGAUAAAUCUGACUUCCAGAUUGUGGUUGACCGUGAAAAUUAACUUAAUUUACAGAGGAUUCCACCUCUCAUUUUAAUUUUCUACAUGAUUGUAUAUUGAGAUAAAAAAAAGUUUAUUGUACUUUGUAACCCCAUAUUUUGGCUGAUUAGCAAAUCAGAUCCUACAUUUUGAAAUGUGACAUUUUGUAACUCUAAGUUUUAUUUAGCUUUCGGUUUAUAACCCUAGCCCACGCAUCCGUUAAAAACAGCCGUUAACUUUAACUGUUUGAGAGGUAACUGUUUUUAACGGAUGUGUGAGCCAGAGUUACAAACUGAAAGCUAAAUGAAACUUAGGGUUACAAACUGUCAUGUUUCAAAGUGUGGGGUCUGAUUUGCUAAUCAGCCAAAGUGUGGGGCUACAAAGUGCAAUAAGCUCUAAAAAAAACUAUGAUUGUGCUUAUGAUUUAUCAAAGUGUACGUGUAUUUAUCAAUCAGACUCUCUCUAAAUUAAGUGUUCUUCUUUUUUGUGGUUAAAUUAUUUAAGUUUAGAUUUAAUUUUAUAAUAUUUGUUUUUAUUUGUAAAAUCAUUAUUUUUUAUUUUAUUUUUGUUAAAUAUGUUUUACUAUUUUUUUACAAAAUAAAUUCUUUUCUGUGAUAUUUAUAAUUCAGAGGAGAACUAAAUAAAAUAUAUAUUAUUUUUUCGAGGUUAGGGCUCUAAUAUCCAGACCCCUGUGGUUAGGGCUGUAAAUCGAUACGGACUAUCCGGUGUCUCGGCUCAUAUCCGGCUCGAAAAUAUGAUACAUGUCUCAUAUUCGUUUUGAAAACGAUCCAAAUCUGGCGGAAAAAUUAAGCCCGUAUAAUAUAUGAUCCCGGAUACGAGCACACCUAUACCCGCUCAGAUUCGGGCUCAUAUAACUUUUCAUAAUAUGAUCCUACCCGAAUAACCGAAUAUGAUCCGCGGUUCAUAUUCGAUUCAAACUCAUAUACAUAUUAUAUUUUAACACCAUCAUAUUUGCAAGUAAAUAGUUAUCAUUUUAUAAAAUUUUAAUAUCUUAUUUAAGUUUAUAUCUUCAUAAAAUAUGAUUUAUUUAAUGUGAUCAUACUUAUUAUCUUCAUAUAUAUUUAAUAAAUGAUAUAUAUCAAUAUAUAACUAUAAGUUUUAAUUUAAAAUUAUUAUACUUUAUAAUAUUAUGUUUACUUAGACUAAUGAUAGUUAUUUGAACAAAUGAAAUAAUAAUGAUACUUAGUGUUAGUGGAUCAUAUCCGGCUCAUAUUCGAUGGAUCAUAAACUACCCGGUUAAAAAAUAGAAAAUACGAUACUGGAUCAUAUCCGGUUCAGAUCCGAAUCUCAAAUACCCGGGAUCGGUUUAGAUCCGAAUAAAACGAUCCCGGACCCAAAUCUGGACAAGCUAAAAAUAAUAUGAUCCGGUACUUGAGCAGAGGGGUACCCGGGAUCACCCGGAUCAUUUUACAGCCCUACCUGUGGUUCCCUUACUCGUACAUGAUAGUAUUUUCAUAUUUAUUAAUCUGCCAAUUUUACGGAGAAAAGCGUUACCCGGCCGGAGAACAUCAACGACAGAGACAGAGACAAGAGAAAACAAUGCUACUGAUAGAGGAGGAAUGUUUGCACUUUGCAAGGCCCAAGAGCUUAUUUAUGUGGGCCAUAUAGUUUAAAUUGCGAAAAAGAAGGGGUCAAAAUUUGCUCCACAAGAUCAUUCUUUGAAUCAAUUGAAUGUUUUAACAUAUUUUUACAAAGAAGUAACUAAUCAUAUGUACUUACAGUUUCAUAGUUGUCCUCGACGAUUUUUCAUAUGCUGAAACCGCUGGAUAAUUGAUUCAUUUAGCACACCAUCGAACACUGCUUUUUCAAUAUAUGUAACGAGACUAUCAUUCAGCAGCUGAUCUCCCAUCCGAUUCCUUAGCCUACUUUUCACAAUCUUCAUUGCAGAGAAUGCUCUUUCAACACUUGCAGUAGAAACUGGUAAUAUCAGUGCCAAUUUUAUAAGUAAGUAGAUCAAAGGAUAUACCAUGUCCUUCUUUGUUUGAACUAACUUUUCUGCAAGAACAGCGAUCCCAUUUAAAAUUAAAAAUUCAUUGUCAGACCGCAUAUCAAAAAUAUAAGUACCCAACUGGUUUCCCAACAUCAUAAGCUCUACUGAGGAGAAGUCGUUUGGAUAAAAUUGAGCCAGCCGAAUUAAUUUUUUCUUGUCAAAAGCAGCAAAUGCAUCAUUUGGACUCAAACAGGACAUACAAAGCAGUAGUUCCAUGUUAGAUUCAUUAAAACGAGUGUUGAGCUCUUGAAGUUGCAUAUCCAAAACACCAUAAAAGAAUUCCACCUUAUAAUAAUGUAUAUUUGUAACCUGGUGCACUUUACGUCGAGAACGUCCUUUCAUUUGAAAAUUAUCUUCCAUGUUUGGGCAAAUGAUAUUAAAUUUCUCACAGAACAUAGAAACUUCUGCUAAUAAAUCAUCCCAGCCAUCAUCCCUUAGCAUUUGUAUCCUUAACUUUGAUAAUUUCACUAAUUUCAUUGCAUUCACAAUAUCCUGGUCUUUUCUUUGCAACGAAAUCGAUAAUUCAUUUGUAAUGCCCAAAACAUUCUUCAUUAAGUGCAAACUAUAAACAAAAUCAAAAGAUUGUACAAACUCCAACAAAGCAGAGGCUUCAGCUCUUUGUUCAGAACUCGGGCCAUCAUCAACAAUAGUAUCAAGAACAUCAAUAACAGAUUCAAACAUAUUAAUAAGAGAUAGAAGUGUACCAUAAUGUGAGCCCCAUCGUGUAUCUCCGGCUCUUUUCAGAGUUGUUUCCUGAUUUAAUCCAUGUCCACUUGCAAGUUCUCCAAUUGCUAAUGCUUCAUAUAUAUGAAUAGCUUGACGAUCUCGAAGUAUAUCUCGACGCUUACAAGAAGCUCCAACAACAUUCACUAAAUUUGCAAUCAUGUUAAAGAGGCUCCCAACAUGAACAUUAUUUUUAGCAAUAGCAACUAAUGUGAGUUGGAGUUGGUGAGCAAAACAAUGGAUGUAAUGAGCUGAUUCAUUUUCUCUCAUAAUUAAACUUUUUAAGCCAUUAAACUCCCCCCUCAUGUUACUCGCCCCAUCGUAGCCUUGUCCCCUUAUCCUGGAUAUACUCAAUCCAUGCUUGGCAAACAAUGAAUCAAUGCAUACUUUAAGUGACGCAGCAUUUGUAUUGGGAACAUGUGCAAUACCAAUAAAUCUCUCAAUUACAUGACCUCUUUUAUCAACAUACCUCAAGAUAACAAUCAUUUGUUCUUUCACUGAUAUAUCACGUGAUUCAUCAAUCAAAAUAGCAAACAAAUCAUCUCCUAAAUCAUGAAUAAUAUAAUUAAGAGUUUCUACCGCAGAAGCAUUGACAAUGUCAUGUUGAAUGUCUGGAGACGAUAUCUUAAGAUUGCCAGGAGCAUUUUUCCCAACAACUCCAUCAAUUUCCUUAUUAUGUGCAGCCAGAAAUUUUAAUAUUUCAAGAAAAUUUCCUUGAUUUAUUGAUCCAUUAGAUUCAUCAUGACCACGUAAAGCAAUACCUUGUCUUAAAAGAAAACGGAGACAAUCAACUGAAGCACCCAAACGAAUUCGAUAUUCAUUUUUAAUCUGCUCUGAAUGCCUAUUUAAUGUCACAUCUAUAUGCUGAUUUUGUUUCAUCAAAUCUUCACAUUUUCUCCGGGCUUGAUUAUGUCCACUGUUAGGACCUCCUACGUGCAAAUCUAAUCUCUCUUUUUUGUUCCAAGCAUCAAAACCCUCUUUAACAAAAGCAUCCCCACUUUGUUUAUUAUCAGACUUAAAAAGAUAACAAUACAGGCAAAACGCAGCUUCUUUUUCUACACUAUACUCCAACCACAAUUUAUAUUCAUUGAACCAAUUAAGAUUGAAACGUCGUAACAAAUUCUCAAUUUUACGUUUCUUAAAAUUAUGAGAUGGUUGACAUGCUCCUUUCUGUAAAUAAGCUCUUCUUACCUUAUCUUUGAGAUUGGGAUGAUAAUCUGAAAUUGGAAUUCGCAACCCGGGAUCUGCAGGAAGGUUGCCCAAUUCAACUUCUUGUUCUUCAACGGGAGCUCUGCUUCUUGUUACAAACUUAUCCAUUCUUGUUUUGUGCUUUAGUGGGUGGGUGAAUAUUGUAAAAUGGUAGGUGAAAAGUAGAGGGGAGUGGGUUUUGUUACUUUAGUCUUUACUGCUUUAUUUUUUGUUUAUACAGAGGGGUCAACCCAAUUUUUAAUAAGGGUUCAAAAUUUAUUAUAAUAAUAAUUAUAUACAUAAAAUUAAAAUUUUUAUGGGUUCAAGUGACCCCUAUAUCAUGGCCAUAGCUACGCCUCUGUCUAUGAGUUGGGGUGUACGCGGGUCGGGUUGGGCCGGUUUAAACUUUUUAUCGAUCCAACCCAUUAAAUUUGGUUUGCCAAUUUUCGAACCCAACCCAUUAAAAUAAUUUUUUAACCCAACCCAAUUUGUCGUAUAACGGGUUGGGUUGGGUUGGACUGGUUUGUACGGGUUACUAACUAUUAAAUUCUGAAAAUAAAAACUCUACGAUAUAAAAAAAAGAAACAAACAGAGUCAAAAAAAUGUUUAGAAUUUGGUGGAGGUAAAACAAUACAGAUUAAUAGCUGUGCAUGUGGAGGGAUUGUGGUCCCUCUUUGUAAUUCUUAUUUUUACAGCAUAGGAAAUUCUGAUAUUACUUGUAUUUUUCUGUACUGAUGUGACCAAAAUGUUUAUUAUGGUUGAUGAGAACACUAACUUCCAACUUAAUCUUUGUUCAUGUUACAUUAGAAUAAAAGUAGAAAAACAAAUGGUUAUAUAUUAUCAGAACAUGUAUAUCAUCAGGUACUAGUCACUCACUCAACUACUAAAUUGAUAAGUAUGAGCAUGCAAAAAACACAACAAAAACUAACCUUAUUAUAUAAAGUAUAUAUUAUAUAUUUUUAUUGAAAUACCCUCGGGUUGGGUUGGGUCGGCCCAGUAAAAUCUAAAACCAUACCCAACACAUUAAAGUCGGGUUGGAGCCGAUUCAACCCAAUUAAGUAACGGUUUAAAAUUUUCGGUUUGAUUCGACUGAAAAUAAGAUCGGUUUGGGUCAGGUUAAACGGUUUGGACAACCCGUGUACACUCCUAUCUAUGAGCAUGGGAUCGUCAGAUUAGUAACAAUCAAACCGAAUAUCUUAUUUUCCAGAUCAACAAAAUUUCAUUUUGAUUUCGAUCUAGUCCGAUAUCCAUUUCAAUUAGAUUAAAGAAUUGGAUUAUCGAAACUCGAAUUAGCUACGUUUAGUUAAAUUUUGUUUAUAAAUUAUUAAUUAAUUUAAUUAUGUUUUGAUCCAUUAUAAUUAUUUUUAAGAAUUAUAAAUUGAUUAUAGGCUCUUCAAAAACUAAAAUUUUAGAAUUUGACAAUUACAAACUUAUUUUUUAUAUUUAUUUUGAUUUAACAAAAAAAAUCGAAUCCCAUCAUAUUCACAUCAAUAUCAUUAAUUAUAAUAUUUCAUGCAUAUUAUAAUUAACCUGAAAGAGAUAUCAUAAAAUUUAGAAAAAUAUAUAUAUAUGGGUUAUGUUCAGAAGAGAACCAUCAGAGUGAUAACCAUAGAACCCUACCUAAAUAACCCUUAGCUAGGGUUCUGCAGCAGAACUUCACAUGCAAAAAAAUGUCAAUAUCUAUAUAUUAUAUUUAAAUUAUUUUUGAAUACACACAACAAUGAAAAAAUAUGAAAAAAAAACAUGUAUUUAGAUUUAAAUCCAGGGACAAUCAACCCAAAUCAUGACAUAGACACUUUGAUAAAUAGAACAUAAUUCAAAUCUCAAAAUUCAGAUGAUAAAUAUAUGAUAAACUUAAAACAAUAACAAUGCUUCUGAUGAAAAAAGUUGCAUACUCACACUAAAGGCUCAAGAAUCUGCGAAAAUCAUGUGUUCAAGUAGGAUUAAGCACCUGUCCAAUAAAUUGCACACUUCCGGUAUUGUUUUCUCUGAUGACGAACAAGAAUGGGUGGUCUGCGACAAAGUCAAUAUAAGCUAUUAGACAUAAUCGAACUUUAGAAACAGAUGCAGCAGCAGCUUCAGUGCCUUGUUCAUCAACUUCAAUGAAGGAUUUAUGAAAUAUGCGAGAAACACAGAGCUUUGGACCCACAGGAGAAUCCGCCAUCUCGGUAAGGCCAUCAUUCCUGGUAAAGGGCAAGACCAGGCCUAGUUCCUUUAAAACAUCAGAUGCUUCAAACUCAAAUGAGAACUUAAAUUUUGGAACGUGGAAGGCGCCAACUUCUACUUCCUGAUAUGGAAUAUGGCGCUCCAGGAAUCCAGGUACGGAACCAAAUUUCUCUACUAAUCUGGGCAACCCAUCUUUUGCAUCCGGAAGAAAGAUGUACAUUGAAAAUUGGCGUUUGUCACCUUGUUUAUAAGGAAGCCCCAACACUUUGAAACCGUUGAAAACCCUGAUCAAUUGCUUUUUCUUGUUGCUGGUCAUGAAGGGGACCUGAAUUGAGCUGCCAUCGAGGAGGUGGAACUCAUUGUCUUUUGUCCUGGAUGCAUCAAACUCGCAACUCCAUGCUCCUUUAAAAUAGAGGGCGUUGGCAAAAACAAGCUUAGUUGAGCUGUCAACUGAUCCUGAAGGAAGAAUCUCUUUGAUAAGGCCCUUAGUCUCCUUUUCGGCCCAGGAAUUCACUACAUUUCUUGCGUCUUCCUCCUGAAAAGAGCGGAAAAAUUAAAUCACAUCACCUACAUUCAUAUGACAAAUAUAAUGACGAACCACAUAUGACCUUAAAAAAUAGUAUGUAUUUAUCAUAAAUUGAAACAAGAGUAUGUUAUUAGCAAAAAAAACAAAGACAGGAAACAGAGGUAUGCAGAAUUUCGUAUAGAUUGUGUAGCUUAAUACAAUUCCAAACCAAGUAGAAUUCUGAAAUGCUGCAUAUAUAGUACUAAAGUAAAUCUAUCUUACUGCAGAAAAAUUUGUCCAAAAUGGGAAAAACUAAUUUUAUAGUUCUCUGAAAUUCUCAGUUCAACACAUUGUUCUCUUCAAUUGAAUUUUAGCGCAUAAUACCCAAAUAUUGAUUUCCCUGAUUCAAAAUGCCUGAAAUUCAUCACCACUGCCGCGUAUAAAUAACACUUUACAAAGGUUGUCCCGGGCCCGGGUUCGACUCAUCCGAAAAGUAUUAGAACAUUUGUAACGCAUAUAAGCCUGCAUUGUCAAAAAAAAAAAUACUCCCUCCGUCCCUUUUUACAUGUCCCUUUUGAAAUUUUUUUUUGUCCCAAAUUACUUGUCCACUUCUCUUUUCAAAGCAACUUUUUGUAUGUUUUUUCAAAAUGUAACAACUUCCAAUGUUUGACUAGCAUAUAUAUAUACACAACUCUAUCUAAUUCAUUACAUUUAUUAGGGAUAUGUAUGAAAACAAGAUAUCCACCUAACAUUUUCUUAAGAUGCGUUAUUUUUUCAAAAGGGACAAGUAAAAAGGGACGGAGGGAGUAUAUAAAAAAUACUGUAUGAAGUGGCCCUCACCUUGCUUUCAAAAUCAACCUGACGACAUGCGGCUUUGUACACAGUUUCAACAACCUCUUUGAAAGAAGGCUUGAGAGUGAGUGACUUCUGAAGCCAAACACCAUUGGCUAAGGACAAACAAGGACCACUGGAGGAGGAAUCUUUGGCGAAAACCCGAUCGACGAUACUUGAAUAAAGAUAGUUAAGCUCAUCUAUAGUUCUGGCUUUAAGAAAAGAGAGAAGUUGAUCAAGGGUUUGGCCACUCGAACCAGCUGCAACCAAGCCAAGAAUAACUUGUAUGGAAAUUGGAGAGAAGACAAGGUUUGAAUCUUUGCCAUAGUUUAAAAGAAUGUGCUUUGACAGGUUUAGUGAAACAUCAACUUGUUCUUGUUGAGCCAUUGACAAGUUAUAGAAUAAUAGAAAUGAUCAUCUCCCUUCUAUCCCUAUUUAUUUAGAAUAAAAUGAGCCAAAUCCAUAUAAAAAUACAAAAACGGUUACAAAAUGAGCUGGAUUUCACUACUUCUAAAAGGAUAGAGACUGAGCUGGAUCCCAAUACCGUCUAAAAAGAUACAUAGAAUGUACUGGAUUCCACUAUCUUUAGAAAUAGAUAGAGACGGGCGGAUAGAGACUAAGUUGGAUCCCACUACCUCCUAGAAAAAUAUAAAAAAUGUGUUGGAUUCCACUACCUCAAAAACAAAUAGAGACGAGUUGGAUCCCACUACCACCUAGAGUACAUAGAAUGUGUUGGAUUCCACUAUUUCAAAAAACGGAUAGGCAAUGAUCUUGAUGCAUUACUUUCAAGAAAGAGAUAAAAAAAAAUGAGUUUGAUUGAGGGAAGCAGGGGUGAGCAAAAAUUCUCCGAACCGACCGAAACCGGCCGAUCCAAUCCGUCCAAACCGAAUUUAACGGUUUAAUAAUGGUUUGGUUUGGUUAUGGUUUCAAAUUUUAAAUACCGAAUUAUUUCGGUUUGGUUUCGGUUUUUACCUCCAAACCGAUCGAUAAAUCCGAACCGAACCGAAUGUGUAGAUUUAAACAUUAAUAUACAUGUGCUAAUAAUGUAAUACUAAAAAUAAAUUUAUAAUCUACAAAAAAAUGUAAAAUCUUAAACAUAUAAAAGGUAUCCUAGUAAAGAUUUUCUUUAAAAAUAUUAUUUAUUCUAUUUUAUGAUAUUAAUUUUGAUGUAUGUAUUAUGAUUUUAUUCUUUUUAUAUAUAUUUUUAUAAAAUUAUACGAAUAACAUUUUUUUUAUUUUCUUCCGUCUCUUUUUAUUUAUCAAGCUAAUAUAUUGUUGUAUCCUCUUUAAAUAUGAUUAAAUAGAAAAUAUAAAUUGAAUUUUUCAUUCCUUAUUUUUCAAGUUAAAAUUUAAUUUUGUUGCUAACUUUGUUUUACAUUUAAAAAACGGUUUAAACCGAAACCAAACCGAGCUAAAACGGAUUGGUUUGGUUUGGAAUUUAAACAUAAUGGUUUGGUUUUGGAUUGAGAUUUUGAAAAACCGAUUAUUUCGGUUUGGUUUGGUUUAGACCCUCCAAACCGUCCAAACCUGCCGAUGCUCACUCCUAGAGGGAAGCAUACAAAAACAAAUUCCAAAUCCCACUAUUUUCAUAGGAAAACCGAUGAAGAAUGUGCAAACCUCAAAAAUGGAUACAAAAUGAGUUGGAUUCCUUUAUCUCUUUUUUUUUAUAGCUAUAUCAACUUAUUUUCUUUCAACGGAUAAGUCUAAUAACAAAUUUUGAAAGUUAAAACAUCAGUUUGAAAUUUUAGGGGUGAUCGAUAUUCAAGUAAUGUCAUUGGACAAUAGAGUUUAACCCUUAUCAGGUAGAUUCCCCGAUCUUGUGAAGGUAGAUGUUGAAUUAAAUAUUAAUAUGGAUUUUGCUAAUAAUAUCAAUAUGAGCCAGAUUCACAAAAAGAUACAAUAACGGUUAUAAUAUGAGUUGGACUUCACUACCUCUAAGAUGGAUAGAGACUUAGUCCCACUAUCUCUCCGAAAAAUAGUGAGAAUGUGUUGGAUUCCACUACCUCUAACAAUGUAUGGAGACCGAGCUGGAACCAUUACCUCCUAGAAUAAUAUACAAAAAUGAGCUGAGGGAAGCAUACAAAAAUAAAUACCAAAUCACACUAUGUCAUAGAAUAAUCAAUGAAGAAUGAUCUAAUCUAAAAAACGGAUAUAAAAUGAGUUUGAUUUUUUUACCUCCUUUUUUCGUUAGCUAUAUCUAUACUUAUUAUUUUUCUAACAAAUAAGUCUAUAAUAAUAAAUUUUGGGAUGACCGAGAGUUAAAACAUCAGUUUGAAAAUUUUAGGAGUGAACAAUAUUUAAGCAAUGUCAUUGGACGAUAGAGUAUUAACCAUAAUUAGAUUUCACAAUCUUAUAUAGGUAUAUGUCGAAUUAAAUAUUAAUAUGAAUUUGGCUAAAAAUAUCAUUAAGAACUUUUUAUUUAUUUGAAUCCUGAGACAUGGUAUGAAUUUUAUAAAAUCAUUUUGUAAAUUAAAUUGUUUUGUUUCGUAAAUUAAAUUGUUUGAGUUUUAAAAGUUAAAAUAAAUAGUUUUGUUGGCAACAUUUGGUGGGAUAAUAUUUAUAUAUCACAAAAUUUUAAUCAGUAUGAAUGUCUUAUUAUAGUAGUAUAAUAAUUAUUAUCAGCAAAAAAAUUAUAUAAUAACCAAACACUACAACAGAUUCAGCAUCACACAACGGUUUUUGCCCGUUGUCUGAGACCACGGAAAACCGUGGUCUAUCGAGACGCCGUCCGAUAUGCGUAUCAGACAACGGUGCGCACCGUUGUGUGAUAGUGCUGAACACGAUGGUUUACGUUAAAAAAAUUAUUGUGCAACACCCAGAACCAACAACCUUUUCUCUUAAACGUGGUGUUGUUAGAAACUCUUCAUUACAAUAGUUGUUUUCAAAAAUGAUGUUGUUAGAGAGGAUAUCCACAACAGUUUUUGGAUAUAUUUACUUGUUAAUAAGAGUAUCAGACAAGAUUGUUUGCGUUAUAGAGGCUUGUGUUUUAGUACCUUGCACAACUGGUUUAGAGUACUGGUCACUUGUGUAAAGCUCCUUAUAACAAUAGUUUAUAUAAUGAAACAAUUGUGUGAAAGCUCUUCUACAACGGUUUUUGUCCCGAAUGCUCGAAUAAUAUUGAUUUAGACAAUGGUUUGUUACUACUAUAUACUUAUUUGUAUAUGUCUUAGACAACGAUUUUAUUCUUAAAAUUGUGUUGUUUGUGGGGCCUGAGACAAUACUUUUUAUCACAGUAACCAUUGUAUAAUGUUGUUUAUAACAAUUGUCAUUUACAUGUCUCAUUAGUUAAAAAUAUCAUAGACAAUGGUUUUACCACAGUGACCAUUGUAUUAUGUAACUUGUAACAAUGGCCAUUUCAUUGUCCCAUUAGCUAAAAGUAAAACCAUGAAUCAAAUAAACUAGACUAGACAAUAUAAUUAACAAUGCCAAAAAUUGGUAAACAAAAGUUUUCAUUACCAUCAUAACAACCAACCAAGUACAAACAAAAUAUCAAUUACCAAUAUCCACCAACUAAAUAUCCACCAACUAAUUAUAUUUACCAACUAAUAUUCACCUUUCAACCAACAAUUCCAUCCAACAAACAUACGGAUUUAUACCCUGCUUCUAACUCAUCUUUAUACAUUGAUCGUGCCUUUUCCCAUGGUCGUUCAUUGAUUGACUCUUCCCAUAUUACACGAUCUCCCUUGCACUGUUCGCAAGUAUUCAUUCCCUGUAAUUGAUAAACACUUACAAUUAAAGCUCUUAAUAAGAUACAUAACGGAAAAUAGAUAGCUUUCUAUAUAUUUAUAUCGACAAUCAAUAUGGACUAUGAACUUUAUACCUAACAGAAAUACAGAACUUGUAACACGGAUUCUCCAACAGAAAUAGGCUAAAGGCAUUUAUGUAGCAUUAGGUCACUAAAAAAUAUUUGAAGUACUAUAAUAUCUUUGCAUUUUAUAUUUUGCACUAUUUAUAUGCAGAAAAACAAUACUGUCUAUAGUCAAGACCGUGUAUUCCAUUUUCAUAUCAAAUAAGAUACAUAAAUAAGAACAGGGCAAAAAUACAUGUAGAAAUAGAAGCUAGAAAAUAAAAUUGAAGAAUGCACAUAUCUCUUGGUCUCUCUACCAAGUUUAGUACUGGUCAACAUGUAUAUUAAAGCAAUUCAUAACUAGUAAACGAUUCAAUAUUUACCUUGCCAUCACACUGGGAACAAUCUUUUUUAGAUUUUUCUAUUCCGCAUUCUGUACAUAAGAGUGUAACCUGUUCCCCUGCAACUUGGGCAAGGCAGUUCCCUUAUAUACAAAACCACGACCUUGGCUUUAUAGUGACAGAAUCUGAAGUUUCCCUGAGAUUGAAACAUGUGACAAAAGAAUGUCAAAUCACAGGUAGCAUAAUAUUUUAGAUUAAUACAAUCAUACCCGACACAAAUCACGACCCCUGUAAGUAGAAUGUCAAUAUUGGGAUGCAUAGCCAAGCAAUAAACUCCACUUAGGUGAUCAUGGUAAGACCUGAUAACCUUUAGAAGGUGGAGAAAUAUCAAUAAUUAAGUUUAUUAGAAACACUAGCAUAGCCAUAGUCCAUAAAAAAGGUUUUUAUAAAACCUUAUUUUAUUCAAGAUCCCAGCAUUUAACUUAUUUGUCAUCACCCGCAAAGAACAUAUAGGUACGUCUCUUACUAACAACAAGGCCUACAAGAAAGAGACAUUAAAACUUUAACAACAGGUUAAUAGUAUAAGUGUGGAAGGAGUGAACUGGCAGGAACUAAACUCAGCAAAAUUCUGCUUCAACUCAGCCUUUCAAAACCACAGUAAACAUAAACCCAAAUGAGCAAACACUUCAAAUACCACAUUUUAUUGGUCAAACUAUAACACACUUCUCAACUUUGAUUCCAGACGUAAAAUUGUCAAGGUUAUAAAUUGCCAAAGAGAAGAAGACUUAACAAGUCAUAGUUAUUUCGACAAAAAAAAAUUAGCAGAAAACCAUAUCCCCAAACAUUACUAAUUCAUCUUUUACCAUUUCAGACUUGUCCUGCAUCCUGCACAUAUAAAAAAACUAAAACAUGGCAUGGGUUCAAAUUACACAUUACACACAAAAAUAGAGUAUUGCAUUUUCACACAGAAAUAAAAAAACAAACCAAAGCAAAUCAAACCACAUAAACAUAAAAACAAAUAAUACAUAAUACAAAUGUAAUAAACCCAAAAACACAGAAAUCCUAAAUUCAUAAAUACCUUAAAACAAGUCUCGAAGUGCUAACCUAGAUGAAGAACACCUGAAAUCAAAGAGAGAUAGGGAGGUUAGAUGAAGUUUAAGGGAUUAUAUGUAAGUACUUGAACUUUAAUUGAAGUUUAAUGAAGAAUCAAAGCAUGAUUGAAGCAGCCACGCCCUAAUUGAAGAAUCGAAGCCUCGACCCUCAGUUCGAUUGUCCCGAAUUAGAAAUAUAAAUCCAUGGAAAGUGGUGGCGUAACUGAGAAAAUAGUGGCCAGAGAGACAUUAAUGAGAGAGAUUAGCCCUAGAUUAGCGAGAGAGGGUAUUUCGAGAGAGAGUGAGCGGGGGUAUUGAGAGAGAGAUUGAGGCUGUGAGUUUGAGUAAAAAUUUCAAAGUUGUUUGAAAAUUUGGGCGGCCUGUAUGUCUGAAAUUUACCCGCUUGAGUCCAAUAUUUGCCCAUUUGAUAGAGUCCAAAUAUUCUCAUAUAUUUAUAUCUUAAUGAAUAAAAUUUAAAUAUUUAUUAUAUAAAAAUUUAAUUACUUAUAUGUAUUUUAUAAUAUUUAUAAGUUCGUAUAUUGACAUUUUUAAAUUUUCUUUUUUUAUUUUAUUACCUAUUAUAUAUUGGUUUUUCAUAUCAAAACAAAGGGAAAUAAUAUUUUUUUGUUUUUCACUUAAUAAAAAAAUUGUUUUUAUUUUAAAAUUUUUAUUACUCUAAAAAUUCAUAUUUUACUUUUUAUAAAAUUUAUUAUGGACAAACUCUGUAUAUCAUCAUUAUCUUAUUUAUUUCAUUUGUAUAUCACUUUCAAUUCUUGUAAAACUAAUUUAAAUUAAUAUUUUAUUUAAAAAAAAUUAUAUUAAUAUUUUAAUAUUCUAAGCUAACGCUUUUACAACUAGGUCAUAAGUAGCAUAACUAAGCUUCGGGGAAAAAAAGAAGUAGCAUAACUAAACUAACUAAGCUAACAUAUUAGCUAACAUUUAUGGUGGGGAAGGGACCGUUGUAUAUUUAUAUUAUGCAUAUAUAAUAUAUUUUUGUACUUUUUGUCUUAAUAAAUAUAUUUAUAUUAUGCAUAUAUGCAAAUAUGUAUUGUUGAUUUGUAAUACCAAGACAAUUUUGUAGUUCAGAUAUGAGUAUUAGUAUGUGUUUUAUGUUUACAAUUUAGAAAAUACUAGAUAGAAUCAUUGUUAUGUAUAAGAUUAGCUCUAUAUAUAUUUAUAAAUAUUUUUUUCGAUCAUCUAACCGUACGGAUGUCGAGAACUAACAAUAUUAGUCAUGUAUAAAAAAAUCAAUUUUUUUAAUGUUUAUUUUGUAUGUUUGUUUAACAAUACUAGUUAAACGUAAAUUUUGUCUUAUUAUAUAAAGGUAAAUUUUGUCCUUUAGUAUCUACAGACAACGGUUUUCAUACGCACUUAUGUUGUAUCAUUGAAAAUGACACAACCAUUACGAAAUGUAUACCGUUGUAAGAUAAUCUAUUGUCUAAAUUAGGCUCAAACAACGCUUCAGGCAAAAUCCGUUGUAUAAAAGUAAUGUAGACAACGGUUUAUGAGAAGAAAACCGUUGUAUAAUAACUUUUCAUUUUAUGAAUUAAAAAUUCGCAUUUCCUUGAUCAAUCCUUAUUUUUGUACUAUUUUUCUUAAUAAAUAUAUUUAUAUUAUGCAUAUAUGCAAAUAUGUAUUGUUGAUUUGUAAUACGAAGACAAUUUUGUAGUUCGGAUGUGAGUAUUAGUAUGUGUUUUAUGUCUACAAUUUAGAAAGUACUGGAUAGAAUCUUCGUUAUGUAUAAGAUUAGCUAUAUAUUAAUUUAUAAAUAUUUUUUUCGAUCAUCUAACCGUACGGAUGUCGAGAACUAACAAUAUUAGUCAUGUAUAAAAAAAAUAAAAUUUUUUAUGUUUAUUUUGUAUGUUUUUUUAACAAGACUAGUUAAACGUAAAUUUUGUCUUAUUAUAUAAAGGUAAAUUUUGUCUUGUAAUGUCUAAUAGACAACGGUUUUUAUACGCACUUAUGUUGUAUCAUUGAAAAUGACACAACCGUUAUGAAAGGUAUACCGUUGUAAGAUAAUCCAUUGCCUAAAUUAGGCUCAAACAACGCUUCAGGGAAAUUCCGUUGUAUAAAAGUAAUGUAGACAACGGUUUAUGAGAAGAAAACCGUUGUAUAAUAACUUUUCAUUUUUAUGAGUUAAAAAUUCGCAUUUCCUUGAUCAAUUCUUGUUUCUAUACUAUUUUUCUUAUGAAAUAUAUUUAUAUUAUGCAUAUAUGAAAAAUAUGUAUUGUUGAUUUGUAAUACCAAGACAAUCUUGUAGUUCGGAUGUGAGUAUUAGUAUGUGUUUUAUGUCUACAAUUCAGAAAGUACUGGAUGGAAUCAUUAUUAUGUAUAAGAUUAGCUCUAUAUUAAUUUAUAAACAUUUUUUUCCAUCAUCUAACCUUACCGAUGUCGAGAACUAACAAUAGUAGUCAUGUAUAAAAAAAAUCAAUUUUUUUAAUUUUAUUUUGUAUGUUUUUUUAACAAUCCUGGUCAAAUGUAAAUUUUGUCUUAUUAUAAAAAGGUAUUUUUUGUCCUAUAGUGUCUAACAAACAAUGGUUUUAUUAGUUAGUAAAGGCUUGUCUAUAAGGCCAUCAUACAAUGCUAACAAAAACACUUGUAUGUUAGCUUCCCAGUCACACAACACUAUUUGAAACCUUUGUUUGAACUGCUCGUAAACAACACAACAAAUAAAACACUUGUCUAAUUACAACAACGGUUUCUUGAACUAUUGUCUCAAGUUUCUUCCCACAUCGGCUCUCAAAACAGUUGUCUAACAUGCAUCAUUACACAAUACUACAGUUAAGAAACCGUUGUCUGCUUGAAUUUAAGAGACAACAGUUUUUUUAACCGUUGUAGGUCGUAGGUGUUAGACAAUAGUUUUUCGAAGACGAAAAGAAAGUGUUGUGUCUUUUUUCCAAACAACGCUUUUUUCACCGUGCGUUGUCUGAUCAGUGUUGUCUAAUGGUGUUUUUGUUGUAGUGAAAUUAGAGUUGCUUCUUAGACUAAAUUGUUUGAGUUCUAAAAAUUAAAGCGUAGGUGGGAUAAUGGUUAUGUAUUACUAAAUCCUGAUCAAUAUGAAAGUCUUUUCUUUGUAGUGUAAUAAUAAUAAUAAUAAGAAAAUCAUAUUUUGAUAACCAAAUUUUGGUAUUUUGGUAUCAAUAUGUACUCCUUAUAUAUUUGAAUUUUGAAAAUUAUUGAAAAUUUAUAGAGUUGUUUCAAAAAUUAAAUUAUUUAAGUUUAAAAUUUAAAAGAAAUAGUUCUAACAUGCGGAUACAGCAGAAGGGACUAGGGAGCCAGGAGAAAACUAAGCCCUUGAAAAGGGGUUAACUCCAGGCUAUACAAAGAGACUAAACCAGGACAACAAAAGCUUGACACAAACAUUAUAAUACUUAUAGGAAAGCAGGCCAACUGAGAGUACUACUAUAGACUCCUGCAGCAGCUAACCAUGCAUGCACCAGUUAAUCUAGAUCGCUGAAAGGAGGUUCACGAGCAAGAAGAGACUAGCAAGCAGUUCAAGUAAUUGAGGGAUUUAGCACUUGUCCAAUAAACUGCACAAUUCCAGAAUUAUUCUCUCUGAUGACGAACAAGAAUGGGUGAUCUGCAACGAAGUCAACCUUAAAUAAACAACAUAACUGAAAAACAGGACCAGUUGCAACAGCAGCUUCGGUGCCUCUUUCAUCAACUUCAAUGAAGGAUUUCUGGAAUAUCUUUGAGACAUGGAGAGGCCUAGGAUCAUACACCAUCUCGGUGCAACCAUCUUGUGGCUUAAAGGGCAAGACCAGCCCAAGACUCUGUAAAGCAUCUGAUGCUUCAAUUGCAUAUUCAAAUUUAAAUUUUGGAAUCCAGAAGUUCCCACCAUUGGCUGCCAUCCAUGGAAUAUAUUUGUCGAGGAAUCCAGAUUCUGACCCAACUUUCUCUAUCAGUGCUGGCAGCCCAUCAUUCGCAUCUGGGAGAUAUAUGUACAUGGAAAAGGAAUGCUUGUCCGAGCUUUGGAUCCCACCAUUACCAUAAGGAAGCUUCAACACUUUGAAUCCAUCAAAUCUACUGAUAUAUCGCUCCUCAUUCCUGGACAUAAAAGGAACCUGAACCCUGUCACCGUUAAGGAGGUGAAAAUCAAAGUGUUUUGUUUUGGAUGCAUCAAACUCGCAACUCCAUGCUCCUUUGAAGUAGAGGGUGUUGGCAAAAACAAGCCUAGUUAAGCUAUCAAAUGAUCCAGCAGGAAAUAGCUCUUUGAUAAGGCCCUUGGUCUCCUUUUCAGCCCAGGAAUUCACUACAUUUCUCGCCUCUUCCUCCUGGAAAAAGAGCGGAACAAUUAAACCAUAUAUGACCUUGAAAAAUAGUACUAUGUAUUUAUCAUAAAUUGAAAAAAGAGUAUGUUAUUAGCAAAAAAACAAAAACAGGAAACAGAGGUAUGCAGAAUUUCGUAAUGAUUGUGUAGCUUAAUACAAUUCCAAACCAAGUAUAAUUCUGAAAUGCAGCAUAUAUACUGCAGAGAUAAAGUUAAUCUAUCUUUACUAAGUGCCCUGACCUUGCUUUGAAAAUCAACCUGACCACAUGCCGCUUUGUACACAGUUUCAACAACCUCUUUGAAAGAAGGCUUGAGAGUGAGUGACUUCUGAAGCCAAACACCAUUGGCUAAGGACAAACAAGGACCACUGGAGGAGGAAUCUUUGGCGAAAACCCGAUCGACGAUACUUGAAUAAAGAUAGUUAAGCUCAUCUAUAGUUCUGGCUUUAAGAAAAGAGAGAAGUUGAUCAAGGGUUUGGCCGCUCGAACCAGCUGCAACCAAGCCAAGAAUAACUUGUAUGGAAAUUGGAGAGAAGACGAGGUUUGAAUCUUUGCCAUAGUUUAAAAGAAUGUGCUUUGACAGGGUCAGUGAAACAUCAACUUGUUCUUGUUGAGCCAUUGACAUGUCAUAGAAUAAUAGAAAUGAUCAUCUCCUUUCUAUCCUUAUUUAUUUAGAAUAAAAUGAGCCAGAUCCAUAUAAGAAUACAAAAACGGUUAUAAGAUGAGCUAGAUUUCACUACUUCUAAAAAGAUAGAGACCGAGCUGGAUCCCACUACGGUCUAGAAAGAUACAUAGAAUGUGCUGGAUUUCACUGCUUCUAAACGGAUAUAAGAUGAUCAGCUGGAUUUCACUGCCUCUAAACGGAUAGAGACUGAGCUGGAUCUCACUACCUCCCGCAAAAAUACAGAGAAUGGGCUGAUUCCACUAACGAUAGAGAUUGAGUUGGAUCCCACUACCUCUAAAAAACAUACAAAGAAUGUGCUCCUCUAAAACAGAUAGAGACUGAGUUGGAUCCCACUACCUCUCAGAAAAAUACAAAGAACGUGCUCCUCUAAAAUAGAUAGAGACUGAGUUGGAUCCCACUUCAGAAUGUGCUAGAUUCCACUAUCUCCAAAAACAGAUAGAGAUUGAUCUGGAUUUGUUACAUCCUAGAAAAAGAUAGAAAAUGAGCUCGAUUGGGUGAAGUAUACAAUACCAAAUCCCACUAUUUCAUUUCAUAGAAAAACCGAUCGAUGGAUACAAUUGGAUUUCUUUACUUUUUUCAUAUCUACUUAUUAUUCCUAUAACAAAUAAGUCUAUAAUAACAAAUUUGGGAUGAGCGAGAGUUAAAAAUUAGUUUGAAAAUUUUAGAGGUGAACGAUAUUCAAGCAAUGUCAUUAGACAAUAGAGUAUUAACUCUUAUUAGUUAGAUUUCGCAUUAACUCUUAUUAGUUAGAUUUCGCAAUCUUAUGAGGUAGAUGUUGAAUUAAAUAUUAAUAUGAAAUUGGCCAAUAAUAUCAAUAUGUGCGGGAUCCACAUAAGAAUACAAAAUGAUUAGAAUAUGGUUAUAAUAUGAGUUGAAUUUCACAACCUCUAAAACCGAUAAAGAAUGAGAUGGAUCCCACCACUUUUCAGGAAAAUACGGAGAAUGUGCUGGAUCUCACGAUUUUUGAAAACGGAUAAAGACUAAGUUGGACCCAUUACCUCCCAUGAAAAGAUAAAAAAUGAUAUGGAUGGAAGGAAGCAUACAAAGACAAAUACAUAAUCCCACUAUUUCAUAGGAAAAUCAAUAAAAAAUGAGCUAAUCUAAAAAACGCAUACAAAAUAAGUUGGAUUUCUUUACCUCUUUUUCAUUUUAGCUAUAUUUACUUAUUACUUUUUUUAACAAAUAAGUUUGUAAAAUAAAUUUUGGGAUGCGGGCAGUUUGAAAAUUUUAGGGGUGAACGAUACAAUGUGAUUGGACUAUAGAUUACUAACCUUUAUCGGUUAAAUUUCGCAAUCUUGUGAAGGUAGAUGUUGAAUUAAAUAUUAAUAGAAAUUUGACUAAUAAUAUUAAUAUGAAUUUUUUAUUUAUUUGAAUCCUGAAACAUGGUAGGUAUCUUAUAGAAUUGCUUCAUAAAUUAAAAUAUUUUGCUUCGUAAAUUAAAUUAUUUGAGAUUUAAAAGUUAAAAUGAGUAAUUUUAUUGGCAAUAUAAUUUUGUUGGUGGGAUAAGAAUGUCUUUUCAUAGCAGUGUAAUAGUUAUUAUUAACAAAAAAGAUAUAUAAUGAUAAUAUAAUUAAAGUCGUUUCUUGUAUUAGACUGUUUGAAUUUUAAAAAUUAAACCGAAUAGUUUUAUUGGCAAUGUAAUAGUACUGUUGGUAAGAUAAUCAUUUACAUUAACAAAUCCUGAUCUACAUGAGAGUCUUUUCUUAGUAAUAUAAUAAUAAUUAUAAAAAAAAUUAUAUGUUGAUAAACAAAUUUUGGUAUCAAUGUGGACUACUUAUUUAUUGCAAUUCUGAAAUAUAAUAGAAAAUUUAUAGAGCUGUUUUAAAAUUAAAUUAUAUGUGUUUUGAAAUUUAAAAGAAAUAAUUUUGUUAAAAAUGUAUUAAUUAUGUUGGUGGAGAGCCGGGACGUCGUGACUCGUGAUCAUGAAAAAGUCUUGUCAUAAUAGUAUUAUAAUUUUUAUUAAAUAAAAAAUUAUAUGAAGAUAAACGAAUUAGAGUUUUUUUAUAAAUUAAAUUAAUUGAUUUUCAAAAAUUAAAACGAAUAUUAUUAUCUGUAAUAAUAAAUUUAUUAGCUAAUUUCAACAUAAUGUCGAAUUUAGCUAUUUUUGAUAUAAUUCAGCGCCAUCGAAAAUAAGGGCAUCAAAAUUAAUUAAUUAAUCGAAGUUAACCAAAUUGUAGAAAAUAGUUAAAUAAUAGUGUUGAAAAUAGAUAUAUAAUAGCUUCGAAAAUAACCAAUUAGUCACAAGAAUAACCAUAUGCAAGACACAGUAAAUGGAAUAUCGAAAAGGAGUUGAGUUUCUAGGGCAACAGUACAUGUACAACAAUACAGGAUGCAAUCUUUAAAGUACAGCAGUACAAGAUAUACAUAUAUAUCUAGAAACAACAAGCUGAUCUUUUUCUUUAGAAAAAACAACAAACUAGCUAGAGAAUUAUCAUAAUGCUGUGUGCACAGCAGGUCAGAUGGCUAGAGGAUUAAGAACUUGUCCAACAAACAGCACAACUCCAGUACUGUCUUCUCGGAUGAUAAAGAGAAAAGGGUGGUCCGCAACAAAGUCAAUGGAAAGAGGAGGAACUUCGGGUGGAGGCAUUGCAAUACUGGUACAAGGGGAAGCUUCUGUGCCUUCUUCAUCAAUCUGAAUGGAUGAUUUCUGAAGUAUGUUUGAAACAUAUAGCAGCUCAUUCCUCUCAGAGUCCAUCAUAGUAUUGAGUCCACCCGGAAUAAAAGGUUCCCUCAAUCCAAAUUCCUUUAAAGCCUCAGUUGCAUCGAGUCCAAAUGACACUUUAAAUUUGGGAACCCGGUACUUGCCAUGUUCCUCAGAGAGGUCUGGAAUGUCCAGGUGCUCAAGGAAUCCUGUCCCAGUGGCAAGUUUAUCGACCAAUGGUGCUAGCGCAUCUUUAGCAUCUGGAAGAAGGAUGUACAUGGAUAUCUGGCAUGUAGCGUAGGGAAGUUUUAAAACCUUAAACCUGUCACAGACGUUAAUGAAUGCCUGCUGCAUGUAGUAGGACAUGAAGGAAACUUGAACCUUCUCAUCAUUCAGCAGGUGGAAGUCAAAAGUGUCUGUCAUCCAGUCACUGAAAGGAACAGCCCAUGAUCCUUUGAAAUAGAUUGCAUUGGCAAACACAAUCUUACUUUGCUCGUCGAAUUGAUCAGGAGGAACAGUGUUCUUAACAAGGCCAUUCGUUUUGUUCUGGAUCCAGGAGUUCACAUUAUUGGUCGCCUCGCUUGCCUGUGCACAAAGAACAGGUACGCAAUUACUAUGAUUUUAAUCAAAGAUGGUAACACAUUUACCUAAACAAGAUAUAGAUGUAUACACAUUAAAAGAGCAAAAGAAAACACAACCUAAUUAAGGAGUAACUUGCGAUAUAGUUGGCAAAGACAAAGAGAAAUCCAGCCUGAUUUCAUGAAUAUUUUUUCCUUUAAUAUAAGAGCUGAUAGCAUUUCAAUGACAGUAGAAUGGACGGACAAUAAAUUUUACCAAAGAUAAACUCCCAAAGAUAAUUACCAUUCAUGAGGAUUGACACGGCAAUCCAUCCAAAACUAUCCCCAUACUCAGUCACUUCUGUGAACUCUCCAAAACCUAACUUUCCAAAUCUAAUUUUCUCCUGAAUCCAAGACCCAAUUCAAGCAAAUAAAUCUAAUGGCCGCCAUCCUUAGAUCUAGCAAGCCUGGUACAUAUUAGUCAUAAGUUCUAUUUACAAAAGCAUCAGGAAAUGACCAAAUCAACUUCACAAUUGCGAAAUUUAUAAUAUAAUAUAGCAGAUCGAGAAGCAAUAAAAACAAUCAAAAACUCACCUGGUUCCGAAAAUCAACAACAUGAGGCACAGCCUUAUACACCGAAUCCGCCACCUCUCGAAAAAAGGCUUAAACGACACAGAUCUAUCAGUCCAGACCCCAUUGGCUAAUGACAAGCUAGCCGGCCCCUCAAAAACAUUCUGAACAACGUGAGAUGCAAGUGCAUUAAGCUCCUGCGUGCUGUCAACUUUGAGGAAGGACAAAAGCUGGUUUAAUGCGUGCCCUUCAGAACCAGCCGCAAUUAAACCAAGUACGAGUUGCACCGAAAUGGGAGAAAAUACAACGUUAGAAUUGCUGCCCUUUGGCAGGAUGUGUUUUGCGAGGGCCAGUACAACAUCUGUUUGGUUCCUGAUGAUCUUCUCUACAUCGUAAAUUGGUGUGAAUUUCAUUGGAUUACUUGAUUUUCUUUGCCUCUUCCUUAAAGACUGCUCCAUUGUUAUUAUCGAUGAGAAAUGUGACACCCUAACUCGAUCGGGAUAUUUGUAGAUAGUAGUGGACAGCACUCAGCAGUUAGUGCCAAAAAUCAAUGCAGUGUUGAGCUGAAUUAAGGGUUCAGAUUAUCCUAGCUAGCUAGUUGGCAACUUAAGAGCCCUUGGAUAAUCAUAUGCUAAAGAUUGUUGUAACGGGUAUGUCUGACGAAAUGGAUCUAGACUGCUGACCUACAAAAAUUUAAAAGUUAUUUAAAUCACACUAUUUCAUAGAAUAAUCGAUGAAGAAUGAUCUAAUCUCAAAAACGGAUAUAAAAUGAGUUGGAUUAUUUAUCUCUUUUUUUGUUUGCUAUAUCUACUUAUUAUUUUUCUAACAAAUAAGUCUAUAAUAAUAAAUUUUGGGAUGGCCGAGAGUUAAAACAUCAGUUUGAAAAUUUUAAGAGUGAACAAUAUUUAAGCAAUGUCAUUGGUUGAUAGAGUAUUAACCAUGUUAGUUAGAUUCCGCUAUCUUGUAUAGGUAUAUGUCGAAUUAAAUAUUUAUAUGAAAUUGGCUAAAAAUAUCAUUAUGGAUUUUUUAUUUAUUUGAAUCCUGAGACAUGUAGGCAUGUAAAUGGAUCGGAUAUCCGAUCCGACCCGACCCGAUCCGUGGUUAAAUAAAUGGAUAUGGAUCCUUAUUAAAAAAUCCGAUCUGCUAAUAAUCCGAUCCGAUAAUAAUCCGGUCCGAUAAAGAAUGGAUAUGAAUAUGGUCAAACCCGAUCUGUUAACGAUCCGAUCCGAUUCAUGCUUAACUAUAUUAUAUAUUUUAUAUUAUAUUGUAUUAUAAUAUAAUAUAUUAUUAUUAAUAUAUUACAUACAAAAUAAUAAUUUCUAAAGAUACAAGACAAAAUAAUAAUUUCUAAAGAUACAAGACAAAACCCUAAAUCAUAUUUUCUUAUAAUCGGUCAGCCGCUCUUAAUUCUUGACAUGGCUCUCACUCUUGUUAUCCGGUUAAUUUAAUAAUCACUCUUUUUUAUGUAGAGUGAGUAUAAAUACUGGAGCUAACUCUUUCACUUAAAACCUCCUCAAUCACCUGGUUCCGUAUUUAAGACAUAUUUAUCGAUUUUAUCUUUAUUAACAGAGGAGCAAAUCAUAAUUUGCUUCCUCCAAAAGUAUUAAGCAACUUAUUUAUUAUUUUUCUAUUUACUUGAUAAAUUCUGUGUGAAGUUUUUAUAGGAACAACCAACAAAUUUUUUAUUAAAUACUGUUUUAUUAGUUUUUUUUACCUAUUACGCUAAAAUUUAUGAAUUAAUAUAGCUAUAAAUAUCAUUUUUUUUUGUAUGGAAGUUAAAACAUUGUUCACGGUGAAAAAAUAUAUUUCAUAAUUUUUAGUAGAUCGGGGCUCCGAUCCGAUUAUCCAUGAUCCGAGUGGACCGGAUAUGGAUUGACUUGUAAAAUAUCCGACUCCUGAUCCGAUCCGAUCCGAAUCCGAUAAAUUUAAAUGGAUUAGGAUAUGAAUUUAGCUAGAUCCGAUCCAAAUCCGAUCCGUUUACAGGCCUAGAGACAUGGUAUGAAUUUUAUAAAAUAAUUUUGUAAAUUAAAUUGUUUUGUUUCGUAAAUUAAAUUGUUUGAGUUUUAAAAGUUAAAAUAAAUAGUUUUGUUGGCAACAUUUGGUAGGAUAAUAUUUAUAUAUCACAAAAUCUUAAUCAGUAUGAAUGACUUAUUACAGUAGUAUAAUAAUUAUUAUUAGUAAAAAAAUUAUAUAAUAACCAAAUUAGAGUUGCUUCUUAGACUAAAUUGUUUGAGUUAUUAUAUACUUAUAUAUAAUAAGGGUAAGGAAGAUAAUUUGGUCGUUGUAUGGUCCAAAGUUGGAUCGUAUAGUGAACAAAUAAGCACCUUUUAGAUCAGAACAAAAUUAACUUCUGUUCAAUAAAACAACUAAUAUCUAUUUACAUGUUUAUAAUUUCUUUUCUGAAUCCAAAAUAAAUUGUGUCUUCACGUGUAUAUGAUUUUUUUUAAUCUAAAAUAAAUAUUUCCUACCAGUUUUAUCUAUAGAAUCAUAUAAAUCGCACCGUCACAAUUUUUAUAUAAUAUAUUUUAAAAUUAAUAAGCCAAAUUUAUGUAAGAUCCGAAUACAAAAAAAAUUUCUUAAUCCAAAACAGAUUCUACCUUCUUUUUGCAUGUUUAUGAUUCUUUUUCUUAAUCCAAAACAAAUUAUGUUUAUCAAUUUUAAUCUAGAACUAUAUAAAUUUUUUUAAAAAAUAUUUAAAUCACAUUAUAAUAAUUUUAAUAUAAAAUACAUUUAUAAAUAUAAUCUAAUGGAAGUUGGCAUCACAUAUUAUACUCAAAAUAUAUUAAAAUUUGAUAGAAAAAAUUUAAUACUUUGGAUGGCAUGAUACAUAUGGGAAACGGAAUGGCUUGAUUACAACAGUUUAUUUGAAGCCAUUAAUGGCUGUGAUGGUGUACUUACAAUAGUUCUAACUUACAAACGAAUCAUAAUUUCAAAUUUUAUUUUAUUGAAAGUUAAAAAUUAUUAUUUAUAAAUUAAAUUUUUUCACAUCAUUUAAAUAUAUUUAAAAAGUUUAUAAAUAAUUAAAAAUUAAAGCGAAUAGUUUUGUUGACAAUAUAAUUCUGUAGGUGGGAUAAUUGUUAUGUAUUACAAAUUAAUCCUGAUCAAUAUAAAAGUCUUUUCUUUAUAGUAUAAUAAUAAUAAUUAUAAGAAAAUUAUAUGUUGACAACCAAAUUUUGAUAUUUUGGUAUCAAUAUGAACUCCUUAUUUAUUUGAAUUUUGAAAAUUAUUGAAAAUUUAUAGAGUUGAUUCAAAAAUUAAAUUAGUUAAGUUUAAAAUUUAAAAGAAAUAGUUCUAACAUUAGGAUACAGCAGAAGGGAGCCAGGAGAAAACUAAGCCCUUGAAAAGAGGUUAACUCCAGGCUAUACAAAGAGACUAAACCAGGACAACAAAAGCUAGACACAAACAUUAUAAUAAUACUUAUAGGAAAGCAGGCCAACUGAGAGUACUACUAUAGACUCCUGCAGCAGCUAACCAUGCAUGCACCAGUUAAUCUAGAUCGCUGAAAGGAGGUUCACGAGCAAGAAGAGACUAGCAAGCAGUUCAAGUACUAAUUGAGGGAUUUAGCACUUGUCCAAUAAACUGCACAAUUCCAGUAUUAUUCUCUCUGAUGACGAACAAGAAUGGGUGGUCUGCAACAAAGUCAACAACAUAAUAACAUAACCUCCUGAAACCAGAACCAGUUGCAACCGCAGCUUCGGUGCCUCUUUCAUCAACUUCAAUGAAGGAUUUCUGGAAUAUCUUUGAGACAUGGAGAGGCCUAGGAUCAUACACCAUCUCGGUGCAACCAACUCGUGGUUUAAAGGGCAAGACCAGCCCAAGACUCUGUAAAGCCGCUGACGCUUCAAUUGCAUAUUCAAAUUUAAAUUUUGGAAUCCAGAAGUUCCCACCAUUGGCUGCCAUCCAUGGAAUAUAUUUGUCGAGGAAUCCAGAUUCUGACCCAACUUUCUCUAUCAGUGCUGGCAGCCCAUCAUUCGCAUCUGGGAGAUAUAUGUACAUGGAAAAGGAAUGCUUGUCCGAACUUUGGAUCCCACCAUUACCAUAAGGAAGCUUCAACACUUUGAAUCCAUCGAAUUUACUGAUAUAUCGCUCCUCAUUCCUGGACAUAAAAGGAACCUGAACCCUGUCACCGUUAAGGAGGUGAAAAUCAAAGUGUUUUGUUUUGGAUGCAUCAAACUCGCAACUCCAUGCUCCUUUGAAGUAGAGGGUGUUGGCAAAAACAAGCCUAGUUAAGCUAUCAAAUGAUCCAGCAGGAAAUAGCUCUUUGAUAAGGCCCUUGGUCUCCUUUUCAGCCCAGGAAUUCACUACAUUUCUCGCCUCUUCCUCCUGGAAAAAGAGCGGAACAAUUAAACCAUAUAUGACCUUGAAAAAUAGUACUAUGUAUUUAUCAUAAAUUGAAAAAAGAGUAUGUUAUUAGCAAAAAAACAAAAACAGGAAACAGAGGUAUGCAGAAUUUCGUAAUGAUUGUGUAGCUUAAUACAAUUCCAAACCAAGUAUAAUUCUGAAAUGCAGCAUAUAUACUGCAGAGAUAAAGUUAAUCUAUCUUUACUAAGUGCCCUGACCUUGCUUUGAAAAUCAACCUGACCACAUGCCGCUUUGUACACAGUUUCAACAACCUCUUUGAAAGAAGGCUUGAGAGUGAGUGACUUCUGAAGCCAAACACCAUUGGCUAAGGACAAACAAGGACCACUGGAGGAGGAAUCUUUGGCGAAAACCCGAUCGACGAUACUUGAAUAAAGAUAGUUAAGCUCAUCUAUAGUUCUGGCUUUAAGAAAAGAGAGAAGUUGAUCAAGGGUUUGGCCGCUCGAACCAGCUGCAACCAAGCCAAGAAUAACUUGUAUGGAAAUUGGAGAGAAGACGAGGUUUGAAUCUUUGCCAUAGUUUAAAAGAAUGUGCUUUGACAGGGUCAGUGAAACAUCAACUUGUUCUUGUUGAGCCAUUGACAUGUCAUAGAAUAAUAGAAAUGAUCAUCUCCUUUCUAUCCUUAUUUAUUUAGAAUAAAAUGAGCCAGAUCCAUAUAAGAAUACAAAAACGGUUAUAAGAUGAGCUAGAUUUCACUACUUCUAAAAAGAUAGAGACCGAGCUGGAUCCCACUACGGUCUAGAAAGAUACAUAGAAUGUGCUGGAUUUCACUGCUUCUAAACGGAUAUAAGAUGAUCAGCUGGAUUUCACUGCCUCUAAACGGAUAGAGACUGAGCUGGAUCUCACUACCUCCCGCAAAAAUACAGAGAAUGGGCUGAUUCCACUAACGAUAGAGAUUGAGUUGGAUCCCACUACCUCUAAAAAACAUACAAAGAAUGUGCUCCUCUAAAACAGAUAGAGACUGAGUUGGAUCCCACUACCUCUCAGAAAAAUACAAAGAACGUGCUCCUCUAAAAUAGAUAGAGACUGAGUUGGAUCCCACUUCAGAAUGUGCUAGAUUCCACUAUCUCCAAAAACAGAUAGAGAUUGAUCUAGAUUUGUUACAUCCUAGAAAAAGAUAGAAAAUGAGCUCGAUUGGGUGAAGUAUACAAUACCAAAUCCCACUAUUUCAUUUCAUAGAAAAACCGAUCGAUGGAUACAAUUGGAUUUCUUUACUUUUUUCAUAUCUACUUAUUAUUUCUAUAACAAAUAAGUCUAUAAUAACAAAUUUGGGAUGAGCGAGAGUUAAAAAUUAGUUUGAAAAUUUUAGAGGUGAACGAUAUUCAAGCAAUGUCAUUAGACAAUAGAGUAUUAACUCUUAUUAGUUAGAUUUCGCAUUAACUCUUAUUAGUUAGAUUUCGCAAUCUUAUGAGGUAGAUGUUGAAUUAAAUAUUAAUAUGAAAUUGGCCAAUAAUAUCAAUAUGUGCGGGAUCCACAUAAGAAUACAAAAUGAUUAGAAUACGAUUAUAAUAUGAGUUGAAUUUCACAACCUCUAAAACCGAUAAAGAAUGAGAUGGAUCCCACCACCUUUCAGGAAAAUACGGAGAAUGUGCUGGAUCUCACGAUUUUUGAAAACGGAUAAAGACUAAGUUGGACCCAUUACCUCCCAUGAAAAGAUAAAAAAUGAUAUGGAUGGAAGGAAGCAUACAAAGACAAAUACAUAAUCCCACUAUUUCAUAGGAAAAUCAAUAAAAAAUGAGCUAAUCUAAAAAACGCAUACAAAAUAAGUUGGAUUUUUUUACCUCUUUUUCAUUUUAGCUAUAUUUACUUAUUACUUUUUUUAACAAAUAAGUUUGUAAAAUAAAUUUUGGGAUGCGGGCAGUUUGAAAAUUUUAGGGGUGAACGAUACAAUGUGAUUGGACUAUAGAUUACUAACCUUUAUCGGUUAAAUUUCGCAAUCUUGUGAAGGUAGAUGUUGAAUUAAAUAUUAAUAGAAAUUUGACUAAUAAUAUUAAUAUGAAUUUUUUAUUUAUUUGAAUCCUGAAACAUGGUAGGUAUCUUAUAGAAUUGCUUCAUAAAUUAAAAUAUUUUGCUUCGUAAAUUAAAUUAUCUGAGAUUUAAAAGUUAAAAUGAGUAAUUUUAUUGGCAAUAUAAUUUUGUUGGUGGGAUAAGAAUGUCUUUUCAUAGUAGUGUAAUAGUUAUUAUUAACAAAAAAUAUAUAGAAUGAUAAUAUAAUUAAAGUCGUUUCUUGUAUUAGAUUGUUUGAAUUUUAAAAAUUAAACCGAAUAGUUUUAUUAGCAAUGUAAUAGUACUGUUGGUGAGAUAAUCAUUUACAUUAACAAAUCCUGAUCUACAUGAGAGUCUUUUCUUAGUAAUAUAAUAAUAAUUAUAAAAAAAAUUAUAUGUUGAUAACCAAAUUUUGGUAUCAAUGUGGACUACUUAUUUAUUGCAAUUCUGAAAUUUAAUAGAAAAUUUAUAGAGCUGUUUUAAAAUUAAAUUAUAUGUGUUUUGAAAUUUAAAAGAAAUAAUUUUGUUAAAAAUGUAUUAAUUAUGUUGGUGGAGAGCCGGGACGUCGUGACUCGUGAUCAUGAAAAAGUCUUGUCAUAAUAGUAUUAUAAUUUUUAUUAAAUAAAAAAUUAUAUGAAGAUAAACGAAUUAGAGUUGUUUUAUAAAUUAAAUUAAUUGAUUUUCAAAAAUUAAAACGAAUAUUAUUAUCUGUAAUAAUAAAUUUAUUAGCUAAUUUCAACAUAAUGUCGAAUUUAGCUAUUUUUGAUAUAAUUCAGCGCCAUCGAAAAUAAGGGCAUCAAAAUUAAUUAAUUAAUCGAAGUUAACCAAAUUGUAGAAAAUAGUUAAAUAAGAGUGUUGAAAAUAGAUAUAUAAUAGCUUCGAAAAUAACCAAUUAGUCACAAGAAUAACCAUAUGCAAGACACAGUAAAUGGAAUAUCGAAAAGGAGUUGAGUUUCUAGGGCAACAGUACAACAAUACAGGAUGCAAUCUUUAAAGUACAGCAGUACAAGAUAUACAUAUAUAUCUAGAAACAACAAGCUGAUCUUUUUCUUUAGAAAAAACAACAAACUAGCUAGAGAAUUAUCAUAAUGCUGUGUGCACAGCAGGUCAGAUGGCUAGAGGAUUAAGAACUUGUCCAACAAACAGCACAACUCCAGUACUGUCUUCUCGGAUGAUAAAGAGAAAAGGGUGGUCCGCAACAAAGUCAAUGGAAAGAGGAGGAACUUCGGGUGGAGGCAUUGCAAUACUGGUACAAGGGGAAGCUUCUGUGCCUUCUUCAUCAAUCUGAAUGGAUGAUUUCUGAAGUAUGUUUGAAACAUAUAGCAGCUCAUUCCUCUCAGAGUCCAUCAUAGUAUUAAGUCCACCCGGAAUAAAAGGUUCCCUCAAUCCAAAUUCCUUCAAAGCCUCAGUUGCAUCGAAUCCAAAUGACACUUUAAAUUUGGGAACCCGGUAUUUGCCACGUACCUCAGAGAGGUCUGGAAUGUCCAGGUGCUCAAGGAAUCCUGUCCCAGUGGCAAGUUUAUCGACCAACGAUGGCAGGCCGUCUUUAGCAUCUGGAAGAAGGAUGUACAUGGAUAUCAGCUGGCAUGUAUGGUAGGGAAGUUUUAAAACCUUGAACCCAUCACAGACAUUAAUGAAUGCUUGCUUCAUGUAGUAGGACAUGAAGGAAACUUGAACCUUCUCGUCAUUCAGCAGGUGGAAGUCGAAAGUGUCUGUCAUCCAGUCACUGAAAGGAACAGCCCAUGAUGCUUUGAAAUAGAUUGCGUUAGCAAACACAAUCUUACUUUUCUCAUCGAAUUUAUGAGGAGGAACCGUGCCCUUAACAAGGCCAUUCGUUUCCCUCUCGAUCCACGAGUUCACAUUACUGGUCGCCUCGCUUGCCUGUGCACAAAGAAAGGUAAAGCAAUUACUUUCAUUUUAAUUAAAGAUGGUAACACAUUUACCUAAACAAGAUAUAGAUGUAUACACAUUAAAAGAACAAAAAAAAAUACAACCUAAUUAAGGAGUAACUUGCGAUAUAGUGGGCAAAGACAAAGAGAAAUCCAGCCUGAUUUCAUGAAUGUUUUUUCCCUUAAUAUAAGAGCGGAUAGCAUUUCAAUGACAGUAGAAUGGACGGACAAUAAAUUUUACCAAAGAUAACUUCCCAAAGAUAAUAAUCAUUCAUGAGGAUUAACAUGGCAAUCCAUUCAAAACCAUCCCCAUACUCAGUCACUUCUGUUAACUCUCCAAAACCUAACUUUCCAAAUCUAAUUUUCUCCUGAAUCCAGACUCAAACCCAUCUCUUUAAUGUGAACAAAACUCACAGUUGUCACAGGACUCGUCGCGCAAUCUUUCUUAUAUGACCUAGUAAUUUGUGCUGACUUGCCCGGAUUUUCUAAAACCCUAAUUUUCGAUCUGAAAAUUGUUGUCAGCUGAGGAUAGAGGAGAUAAUAUGAAAGAAAUACCUAGCCAAAUCAGCAAACCUGACACACCCUAGCAUUGAACUGGACAGGUUUUGAACUCUAGAUCAGAAAUACCUAGCUAGAUCAGCAAUCCUAACACCAUAGCAUUGAACUGGACAGAGGUUUUAAACUCUAGAUCAUGGAUUCUAGGAAGAGCAAGCUGCUUAAGAACAGGGACAGGAUCCUAGAAACAGAUCCUGCACAAUGAAAUAUUUGUUAGCAAGAGCUCUAGUUUGAUAAAAAAAAGUUGGAGGCUAAAGAAUAAUAUCAUUUGUUUCCCAAAAAAUUAUUCUUUGUUAGAACUUUAAAUACUCGUUGGAAGUAAAGAAAAUUUCACUAUAUAUUUUCCCCAAUACAUAUAGACUAUGUGCUCCCCAGUUCAGAAAAGAAAAGAGUGGAAAAAUAGUUAUUCUCUUUGAAAUUAGUUUUCUUUUUCUUUCCUCCUAAAAAUAAACUCAGGAACCAGUUCAAGAAACAACACCUUUCUCUUUCUAAUCUUUUCUUUCAAAUUAAAUAAGAUCAGUAACAUGAUAAUAAGUAGGGACGACAAUCGGUCGAUUGGUACGGUUCGGUCGAAUAUCCGUCGGUUCGGAAAAUUUUGUCAUCGAUAAGUUAUGAUACAUCUUGCAACCUAAGUUGGCGGACUGUUACAUUUUCAAUCCAAUUCAUGUUGAAUAUCCGUCGGUUCGGUCGAAUAUCCAUCGAUUGGAAUGAACAAUUCAUGUUGAACUGUUACAUUUUCAAUCCAAUUGAAGUUCAUCAGGUAAGACCACAUGUAUUUAGCCUGAAUUUGCACUACAAUAUAAGCUAUUAGAUCACAGAAUUGGCAUAGAUACAAUAGCAAUUACGAUAAUCCCUCAUUAUUGUCUCUAUACUAAACAUCAAAGACCCAAUUCAAGCAAAUAAAUCUAAUGGCCGCCAUCCUCAGAUCUAGCAAGUCUGAUACAUAUUAUUCAUAAGUUCUAUUUACAAAAACAUUUGGAAAUGACCAAAUCAACUUUACAAUUGCAGAAUUCAUGAUAUAAUAUAGCAGAUCAAGAAGCAACAAAAACAAUCAAAAACUGACCCGGUUCCGAAAAUCAACAACAUGAGACACAGCCUUGUACACCGAAUCCGCCACCUCUCGAAAAAAAGGCUUAAAUGACACAGAUCUAUCAGUCCAGACCCCAUUGGCUAAUGACAAGCUAGCCGGCCCCUCAAAAACAUUCUGAACAACGUGAGAUGCAAGUGCAUUAAGCUCCUGCGUGCUGUCAACUUUGAGGAAGGACAAAAGCUGGUAAUUUAAUGUGUGCCCUUCCGAACCAGCCGCAAUUAAAGCAAGUACAAGUUGCACCGAAAUGGGAGAAAAUACAACGUUAGAAUGGCUGCCCUUUCGCAGGAUGUGCUUUGCGAGGACCAGUGCAACAUCUGUUUGGUUCCUGAUGAUCUUCUCUACAUCGUAAAUUGGUGUGAAUUUUGUUGGAUUACUUGAUUUUCUUUGCCUCUUCCUAAAAGACUGCUCCAUUUUUGAAAGUCGAUGAGAAAUGUGGAACCGUAACUCGAUCGGGGGAUUUGUCGAUAGUACUGGACAGCACUCGGUAGUGAGUGCCAAAAAUCAAUGCAGUGUUGAGCUGAAUUAAGGGUUCAGAUUAUCCUAGUUGGCAACUUAACAGCCCUUGGAUAUUCAUAUGUUAGAGAUUGUUCUAACGGGGUCUGAGAUUAAAAGUUAUUUUACAGUAUAUUUUUUAUUUAUUUUCAAAGAUAUGAUUUGCUAAAAUUCCGAUAAAAACUUCUUUAAAGAAUUCUUUUUUGAAAAUUCAAUUGUUAACAUUUACCAUCCAAAAUUUAUUAAUUUCAGUUUUCUUUAAGAUUUCUUCUAAAUUUGAUUUCAUAUUGCAACCGUUGUAUUUCUUGUUGUACUUUUAAUUAACACAAAAUUAUAAUUAAACAAAAUAUAAGAAUGAAUUUCACCUCUAUAUAAUCUUAGAACUAUAUUUUAAUUUCUAGAAGUAGGAAACUAAAAUUUGAAAACAAAAACUUAAACCAGUACUUUUUACCGUACAUGCAUGAAAAUAUAUUUUUGAAAAUUGUAUUCGUGAUAAAACUCUAGAGAAUUAUACAUUAAAUUUAAAGUUUGCUUUUAACUCAAAAUUAAAUUCCACUUUUAAACAAAAUUUAGACUUAUUUCAUGUCAAAUAAAAUAAUUAUUUAAACAUAUACACACUACAUAAAAUUGAAAAUUCCACUUUUAACUCAAAAUAGUAUAUAGAUUUGAAUAAUUUAUUUUAGAGGUUUUUUCACAAAUAUAAAAAGAAAGGCCUUCUAAUAAAAUCUUCAUAAAAAUUUGUUUAAUAAAUGAUUAUACUCAUUUAAUCAAUAAACUUUUCUUCCCUUAACUUUUUCAACUUAUGAUGGAAGUCAUUAUCUGGAAAGAAAAUAAACUCACCUUCAAGCAUUAUAAAAUAAAUCGUAGAACUUUAAAUUUUUCUUAAAAAUUAUAUGUACAAUUUAUAUACACAUUCAAUAUAUAUUUAUAUAAGUCAUAAAAUAUAUUAUUAGAAUAAAUAAAUAUAAAAACAUUAAUAUAUACACAUUUAUCAAUAAAAGGAUUAUCUCGAAAAAUGUAUAUAUCUUCUUACUUUCCAAUAUAAUUUUAUAUUUAAGAGUAAAACAAAGAUCAAAAUUAUAUACACAAGCAAUAGUAGGCAUGGGUUCUGUGGAGACACACAUUCUUUGGAGUAUUGGAGACCCUAAUCCUGAUCUUCGGUUUUGUUAUAAUCUAGUGGCUAUCAUAAUUAACAUUUAUAAUUAAAAAAAAUUAUACAGCAGUAUGUGUGUACGAUGUGUAACCUCUUGUGUAACUGGUAAUCUUUAACUGUAGCGUCAAUUCAGGGAGCGAUUUCUCCGGUUAAUCAAAUCCAGCUAUAUGUUUAUCGAACUAAUGUCCCCUUAUUCUGUUGUUUCCUGUAGUUGUGAUUUUACAUACUUUCGAUUUAGAGUACCGUUAAUUCACUUCCAGGCUUUCAUCUUCCCUCUGAUUUUCAUCUUUCCUCUGAUGUUCAAAUGUUGUUCGAGAAAAGAAUUCAGGCAUAUGAGUUUAUGUCUUGUUCUUCAAUUCGAAGAUGUUAGUUUUUGUUUAGUUUCUUCCAAAUUUUGUUUCCCUUUUAGUCCAUUGUUCUCAUAAUCUCUAAUUACAAGUGAAAAGAUUUUGUUUAUUUCGAUUAUACUCUGAAUUUUCCAGUUAGAAGUAGAUUAUUCUUUUUUAUGGUGUUCAAUACUCUGCAUAUAGAAGAUAAGCUGUUGAGUUUUUAUUUUUUAUGUUGGGUACAUAUUUGGCUAAUUGUUUCUAUACUGAACUCUGCUUUAAACAUUAAGAAAUGUUGCAGGGCUAUCCUGGAAAAUAUGAUUGUUUUGCAAUUGGAUCAAGCAAUACUAGACAAUCUGCUUUUCAUCUCCAGUAGCGAUGGAUCAUAUAUAUGAUGUUAAUUUUAUAUUGAGGUUUACAAGAUCAUUUUUAGGGACUGGAUUUCGUCAUGUCCACCUGAUUCAAGUGCAAAAAGUAGCUAAUCUAAUGGAUUCGUAUGUAGGUGAGGUAUCCCCUGCUCCUUCUUUUAAACCAUCAAAAUUUUGCAGCCUGAUCAAAGUUAUACCUAAUUCAGCAAGGGAAUUUUGUGAUGGUAUCUACCAUGCCAAACUACACAGUACCCUUUUAACAAAAAAUCAUAUCAAACAUCAACAAUACCAGAUUUGGCCACCAAAAUUUUUUUCCAAGCAACUGCCAAACAACAAUUACAGCUAUGCAUAAUUUAUUUCAUCUGCCAUUGUAAUUUAAAUACCAAGGCACAACAACAAUUGACCAAUAUCACAGUUUAAAAUAAUCAUGUUGAACUUGGCAUGAAUUUCAAACUAAACAAACAUGAUAAGUAUUGGAGAGAAUCGUUCUUCUCUUCAAUACUUUUCUUUUGUAAUCUUCGGUUUUGAUUUAGAGGCGAUUAUUUAAGGGAACAGAGUACAUGUAACUGUCACUUGAAUUGCUAUUUAUGCGGGACUACACUUUGAUACACACACGCUUGUAUACGGGACCGUAUGCUUACUACUGUAUACGGUAGUUUUAAAUUUUAAAAAAAAAAAUCAAUCUGUCACCCAUCUCUGCCGUACAAUUUUGUUUAGAUUUGAUGGUUCUAAGGAGGGUCUCCAAGUACAGUACUCCAAAUAACAAAGACUCUAAAGAGCCCAACUCACUAUAAUAAAUAUUGAAAUCUUAACCACCGGAAAAUGCUUCAAAAUUAAUACACACGCGCAGUCGCGCAUACUGCCAUAGAUACUGAAAAUUUGAGCACCCUCACCCCUGGUCGUGGACUACGACAAUACUCAGCAAUCAACGGCACUAAACUGCAGCCCUCUUGAAAGGUUCAGAUUGAAAAACGUAAUUUACAUGAACCAUCUAAGUGAGUUCGACUCAAUAUGUAGUCUAAAUACACAUAAAAUAACGUUUGGAGCAAAAAUUUAGACGGACGUAUUUUAAUGUUUCUAUAAUAUAGAGUCUCACAAGCUAUUUUCUUCCUUCUGGAUCUUAUAAAUAUCUUUCUAUCUCUAUCUCUCUCUCCCUCUCCGGCUCUCUCCUGUCUCCCCUCUCUCUGUUAAUUUGUCUACUAGUCCCUCCAUCCCGGCCGAUUCCUUACGUUUGGUUUGGGCACGAAGGUUAAAAAAUAUGGAUAAAGUAGUGGAAACGAGAAAGAAAACUGGGUGAAGUGGUGGGACCCAUUAAUUUUUAAUGUAUAAAAGGGAGAUAAUGGAGUAAAAUUAGUGUGAAAAUGGAAGAAAAGUGGAAAACUGGUGCGACCCGUUGACUAUUUUUGGUAAGUUUUGAAAUGUAAAGAAUUGGUUGGGACAGAGAAAAUAUUUAUUAAUAAUGAUGGAUCUCUACAAAUAUAAAAUUUCCAUCAAUUAAAACAAGUUAAAUAGAUCAAAUUUAGCGCUUAGCCUGUACUCAUGGACACACACUAGUCAAAUCUUAAUUUUGUUUCAACUUGACUCGGUUAAAAUAGAGAAAUUUAUAAAAAUGUUUAUAUUUUCAAAAAUACCGUCAGAACUGCAUAUAAGGCUUCAACGUUGGUUGAAAUCUAGUUGCAAUUGAGAUUACAUAAAUAAUUUAUGCAAUAUUUUUUACCAUAUUUUUGAAAAUAAAAUUUAUAAUUAUUUUGAAUAAAAUCAUUAGUCAAAUUUUUAAAAUUUGGUACACAGAAAUUUGUGUAUUAAAUUUGGUACACGGAAUUUUAUUAUAUAAGGAAAUCAGGAAAUCAUCCAAAUUCCAAAAGCUAUUGUUAAAGAUACGAAUGAACCACGAGGCAUUAUUUUUAUUUUCCGGAAGGAGUGAGGACUGAGGAGUGACGCUAAUAUUGAAGACAAAGGACAGGUGUUGAGAUUUAAAACUGAGUAGGUGGCUUAAAGCCUUAAACAAAUAACUGUUUCUUAAUUAAAUUAUUACCCUCCUAAAUAAGUCAAUACUCUGAUCACAAAAAUAGACUAAUCACCUAAAAUUAGUAGUCACUGUAUAUAAUACUCCUAAUUUACUAUAGAUCAUAGAUAAUAGAACCUGUAAGAUAAACUUUAUAUUAAAAAAAGGGAAAAUAGAUUUUUUUGCCACCCAACUUAUUAUUUGUUUAGAAACCUACCACUGAACUAUAAAUUUUUUCUUUUUUAUCACUAAUGUUAGGUUCGGACUUUUUUUUGACACUAACGUUAGGUUCGGAUUUGAUUAUUAACACUAUACUAUUUUUUUAGCAUUAUUAAAAUAUAGUGUUAGUCUGCAAUAUAAUGGCGAUCUGAUAUGUGUCUAUAACUUUAUAUGUAGUGUCCUAGAUAGUUUACCUUGGAGGACGAGAGUUGGACACGCAUUUUGAGACUCCAAAAAAUUUCAAAAAUUAUUUUAUUUUAUUUUUUCUGAAUAAAAUUUAUUGUUGGUUUUUUUUCCCCUUAAAAAAACGUUGGAUUUUUUUUUUGUCGCUAACGUUAUGUUUUGAUUUGAUUAUUAACAAUAUGUAAUUUUUUUUUAGCAUUAUAAAAACAUAAUUGUAGUCUGCAAUAUUAUGGUGAUAUGAUAUGUGUCUAUAACAUUAUAUACAGUCGUCUAUAUGUCCCCUAACUAGUUUACCUUGAAGUACGAGAGUUUAACAGGCAUUUUAAGAACCUAAAAAAUUUUAGUUUUAUAAAUUAUUUUAAGACUCCACAAAAAUAUAGUAUCACUUGACUUUAUAGUUCUUUACCACUCUUGUCACGUAUUUUAAGGUUCCCACUUUUUAUAAAUAUAGUUCCAUAAGUUAAUUUUGAGAUUUCUUUUCUGAGUAAAAAAAUCCGUACUCUCGUCCUCCAAGAUAAACUACCUAAGACACAUAUGGAGUACUACAUAUAAAGAUUUAGACACGGAUCACCAUUAUAUUGCAGACUACCGAAAAAUAGAUUUACGAAAAAUAUCGUUUAGAUGGUUGGAAAAUUUAAAUAAAGGUCUGAUUUUAAUUAAAUAUAAUAAAAUUUCCCAAAAUGCCCCUGCAAAAGUUAACGGUAACGGCAGAAGAUAACGGAAAGGGUGCAAAGUGUCUACGGGUUAAAAGUAAGAGGCUGCAUAGUGUUUAUUCCAAAACUAUUAGGUGCAAUGUGCAACAUGCUUAAAUCAAAGGGGUGCCAAAUGCAAUUAACUCUAAAAAGAAUAACAUAGUGUUAAUAAUCAAAUCCGAACCUAAUAUUAGUGACAAAAAAAAAUCCGAACCUAACAUUAGUGGCAAAAAAGAAAAAAAUUAUAAUUCAGUGGUAGGUUUCUAAACAAAUAAUAAGUUGGGUGGCAAAAAAAUCUAUUUUCCCUUAAAAAAAAAAACAAGAAUAACAUAAAGCAAUACAUGUGGACUCCAAAUGGUAGGUAGUUAAACAUACAGUAUCAAACAGACUUAUUGCUGGAUCCUAGCUGCUGCUUUUGAACUAACUCAAGAGUGUUGAGAAUUGACAGGUACAGGAAAACAUAACUGGCAAGGCUGUAAAGUUCAUCAAGAGGGCUAAAUGUAAUGUCAGCAGUUGAUCAGGUAUUAUUAUGAGACUCCGAGAAAGGUUUACAACGCGGCAUGUCUAGGUAGCGAGAGGAUUAUGGACUUGUCCGAUGAACUGCACAACUCCGGUCAUGUCUUCUCUGAUAAGGAAGAGAAAUGGGCGGUCUGCAACAAAGUCGAUCUUAUCGAACAUUUGUAAAGACCUC